Molecule: ribosomal RNA, 254 nt
Filed under: uncultured bacterium
Lineage: Bacteria
Description: partial 16S ribosomal RNA
Rfam family: Bacterial small subunit ribosomal RNA
Source: RNAcentral
UACGUAGGGGGCAAGCGUUGUCCGGAUUUAUUGGGCGUAAAGGGCUCGUAGGCGGCCAACUAAGUCGGACGUGAAAUCCCCAGGCUUAACUUGGGAACUGCGUCCGAUACUGGAUGGCUUGAAUCCGGGAGAGGGAUGCGGAAUUCCAGGUGUAGCGGUGAAAUGCGUAGAUAUCUGGAGGAACACCGGUGGCGAAGGCGGCAUCCUGGACCGGUAUUGACGCUGAGUGAGCGAAAGCCAGGGGAGCAAACGGG